This 982-nucleotide ribosomal RNA is filed under the name Chondrilla sp. CU084. RNAcentral's name for it is "SSU rRNA". It matches the Rfam family "Eukaryotic small subunit ribosomal RNA", at positions 35 to 1001 of the family's 1831-position model. The record is from RNAcentral. Lineage: Eukaryota; Metazoa; Porifera; Demospongiae; Chondrillida; Chondrillidae.
CUUGUCAGACUAAGCCAUGCACGUGCAAGUAUGAACGCUCUUCACUGCGAAACUGCGAAUGGCUCAUUAAAUCAGUUACAGUUUACUUGACGGUCCCCCCCACUUGGAUAACCGUGGCAAUUCUAGAGCUAAUACAUGCCCCCGGUCCCGACUGCCCCUCCCCGGGGGCGGAAGGGACGCAUUUAUUAGAUACAGAACCGGCGCGGCCUCGCCCCAGGGCGGCGGCCGUUUCCUCCGGCGAGUCAUGAUAACUGUGCGGAUCGCACGGCCCUGCGCCGGCGACGUUUCAUUCAAGUUUCUGCCCUAUCAACUUUCGAUGGUAGGGUCUUGGCCUACCAUGGUUGCAACGGGUGACGGAGAAUUAGGGUUCGAUUCCGGAGAGGGAGCCUGAGAAACGGCUACCACAUCCAAGGAAGGCAGCAGGCGCGCAAAUUACCCAAUCCCGACUCGGGGAGGUAGUGACAAUAAGUACCGAUGCCGGGCUCUCCGAGUGCGGCAAUCGGAAUGAGACCGCCUUAAAUCCCUUAUCGAUGAACAAUUGGAGGGCAAGUCUGGUGCCAGCAGCCGCGGUAAUUCCAGCUCCAAUAGCGUAUAUUAAAGUUGUUGCAGUUAAAAAGCUCGUAGUUGGAUUUAGAGGGGGGCGCGCCGGUCCGCCGCGAGGCCCGGUACUGGCGCGCUCCUCUUCCUCCCGAGGGCCCCGUCUGCCCUGUGCUGCGGUGGGCCGGGGACCUCGGGACUUUUACUGUGAGGAAAUUAGAGUGUUCAAGGCAGGCGCUCCGCUUGGAUAGGUUAGCAUGGAAUAAUGGAACAGACUUGGUCCUGUCUUGUUGGUUCUCCCGGGACCGAAGUAAUGGUCAAUAGGGACAGUCGGGGGCAUCCGUACUCAGCUGUCGAGGUGAAAUUUCGGAUUUGCAAAGACGAACGGCUGCCAAAGCCUUUGCCAGGAUGUUUUCAUUAAUCAAGAACAAGGUUGGGGGUUCGA